GUACAACCUGAAACCACUCAGAAUGGCCGUCAUUGAAAGUUUACAAGUAGUAAAUGCUAGAGGAGUUUCCUUGUGGUGCCACAGGCUAAGGACCCAGUGCUGUCAGUGCUGUGGCUCGGGUAACUGCUGAGGUGCAGGUUUUUUUUUUUGUCUUUGUUGUUGUUGUUGUUGUUGUUAUUGUUGCUAUUUCUUGGGCCGCUCCCGCGGCAUAUGGAGGUUCCCAGGCUAGGGGUUGAAUCGGAGCUGUAGCCACCGGCCUACGCCAGAGCCACAGCAACGCGGGAUCCGAGCCACGUCUGCAACCCACACCACAGCUCACGGCAACGCCGGAUCGUUAACCCACUGAGCAAGGGCAGGGACCGAACCCGCAACCUCAUGGUUCCUAGUCGGAUUCGUUAACCACUGCGCCACGACGGGAACUCCAGAGGUGCAGGUUUGAUCCCUGGCCUGGGAGCUUCCAUAUGCUUCAGGUGUUGCCCCUGCCCCCACCCCCCCAAAAAAGAAUAAAUGUUGGUGAGGGUGUGUAGAAAAGGGAGCCCUCCUACACGGUUGGUAGAAUGUAAAUGUAGGCAGCCACUAUGGAGUAGAGUAUGGAGGUUCCUUAAAAAACUGAAAGUUACCAUAUGAUCCAGCAAUUUCAUUCCUGCAUAUAUAUCUGGAUAAGGUGAAAACUAAUUUGAAAAGAUACAUGCACCUCAGUGUUCAUUGCAGGGCUAUUUUACAAUAGCCAAGAUAUAGAAGCAAUCUAAAUGUCCAUUGACAGAUGAAUGAAUCAAGAAGGUGUGGUAUCUAUACACAAUGGAAUAUUACUCAGCCGUAAAAAGGAAUGAAAUAAUGCCAUUUGUAGCAAUAUAGAUGGACCUAAGGAGUAUCAUACUAAGUAAGUCAAAGACAAAAAUCAUAUGAUAUCAUUUAUAUGUGGAAUCUAAAAGGUACCAAUGAACUUAUUUACAAAACAGAAAGGGAGCAGCCCUAAAAAGACAGAAAGACCAAAAAAAAAAGACUGGUUAGGUAAAUCAUGCUGUAGCCACACAAUGAAUGCUGUUCAGCCCCUGAAAAGAUCGGUAGUUGAUCCCGUGUCUAACGUGCUUUUAUUUAGCUUCUGUGCCCCAAAUCAGUUUCUGGUCUCUUAGCUCCAGAUUUGCUCGUCUCGCCUGAUCUUUGAAAAUAGGUCUGAUCCUUUUAAAUGAUUGUUCUUUGUCAUCUGAGAGGUAAUAUACUGAUAACGGGCCCCGCUUUUUAAAAAACAGAAGGGGGUGGGGAAAAGAUGAUGUUUGUACAGCUCUGCAUAUGUGUGAGUAUCUUCUGGAAGCUGCAUGAAAGGGUUACCUCUCAGGGUGGGACUGGCAUCUGGUGGAAGAGAGACUCAAAGUUUCUUUUAACCAUGUGCCUGUUUUAUUUCCAUAGAGAAAAAGACAAAACUUGAGUUAGACAUUAAAGAAAACUUGCAGUAACAGAGAAACAGACUAGCUGGAAAUAUGAAAUACUGUAAAGAUGUCAUUUAAUCAGAAUUAAUUUAUAGGUUCAAUGCAGUCAUGGCAGAGUUAAAAAAAAAAAAAAAAAAACAAAAACCCGAGGUGGAGGCAGGGCAUGGUUUUUAUUGGUAAGAAGCUUAGCGUAUAGUUUGGGAGACAGAAACAUAAUGUUCACCAAAAAAAUGCCUUGAACACAGUUACAAAGCAAUAUAUCAAGAGCAAAGCAAUAAAAUUGAAUACAUAUGUAUUAUGGGAACUCAGAGUCCUUUGAGAGAAUAGAAUGGAGUUAAUCAGCAAAGGAUACUUAAAAAAAAAAAAAAAA
RNAcentral lists this long non-coding RNA (1797 nucleotides) under Sus scrofa (pig). RNAcentral describes it as "lncRNA (ENSSSCG00045027451.1)". Lineage: Eukaryota; Metazoa; Chordata; Mammalia; Artiodactyla; Suidae. The record is from RNAcentral.